RNAcentral lists this ribosomal RNA (274 nucleotides) under uncultured bacterium. RNAcentral's name for it is "partial 16S ribosomal RNA". It matches the Rfam family "Bacterial small subunit ribosomal RNA", at positions 523 to 796 of the family's 1533-position model. The record is from RNAcentral.
AUACGGAGGGUGCAAGCGUUAAUCGGAAUUACUGGGCGUAAAGCGUACGUAGGCGGUCCGUUAAGUUAGAUGUGAAAGCCCCGGGCUUAACCUGGGAACUGCAUUUAAAACUGGCGAACUAGAGUUGAGUAGAGGGGAGUGGAAUUUCAGGUGUAGCGGUGAAAUGCGUAGAGAUCUGAAGGAACACCUGUGGCGAAGGCGACUCCCUGGACUCGAACUGACGCUGAGGUACGAAAGCGUGGGUAGCAAACGGGAUUAGAAACCCUAGUAGUCC